UACGGGGGGGGCAAGCGUUGUUCGGAAUUACUGGGCGUAAAGGGCUCGUAGGCGGCCAACUAAGUCAGACGUGAAAUCCCCAGGCUCAACCUGGGAACUGCGUCUGAUACUGGAUGGCUUGAAUCCGGGAGAGGGAUGCAGAAUUCCAGGUGUAGCGGUGAAAUGCGUAGAUAUCAAGAGGAACACCAGUGGCGAAGGCGAGUCCCUGGACAACACCUGACACUGAGGCACGAAAGCUAGGGGAGCAAACAGG
RNAcentral lists this ribosomal RNA (253 nucleotides) under uncultured bacterium. RNAcentral's name for it is "partial 16S ribosomal RNA". It matches the Rfam family "Bacterial small subunit ribosomal RNA", at positions 524 to 776 of the family's 1533-position model. The record is from RNAcentral.